Molecule: ribosomal RNA, 491 nt
Filed under: uncultured bacterium
Lineage: Bacteria
Description: partial 16S ribosomal RNA
Rfam family: Bacterial small subunit ribosomal RNA
Source: RNAcentral
AGUGAACGCUGGCGGUAGGCCUAACACAUGCAGGUCGAACGGCAGCACAGUAAGAGCUUGCUCUUACGGGUGGCGAGUGGCGGACGGGUGAGGAAUACAUCGGAAUCUACUUUUUCGUGGGGGAUAACGUAGGGAAACUUACGCUAAUACCGCAUACGACCUACGGGUGAAAGCAGGGGAUCUUCGGACCUUGCGCGAUUGAAGGAGCCGAUGUCGGAUUAGCUAGUUGGGGGGGUAAAGGCCCACCAAGGCGACGAUCCGUAGCUGGUCUGAGAGGAUGAUCAGCCACACUGGAACUGAGACACGGUCCAGACUCCUACGGGAGGCAGCAGUGGGGAAUAUUGGACAAUGGGCGCAAGCCUGAUCCAGCCAUACCGCGUGGGUGAAGAAGGCCUUCGGGUUGUAAAGCCCUUUUGUUGGGAAAGAAAAGCAGCAGGUUAAUACCCCGCUGUUCUGACGGUACCCAAAGAAUAAGCACCGGCUAACUUCGU